Mesocricetus auratus (golden hamster) is the source of this 96-nucleotide small nuclear RNA. The record is from Ensembl. Lineage: Eukaryota; Metazoa; Chordata; Mammalia; Rodentia; Cricetidae.
UUUUAUUUUGCAUUACGAAUCCCCUAAAAUUGGAAUGAUAGAGAGAAGAUUAGCAUGGCCCCUGUGGAAGGAUGAGCAUUCCAUAUGAAGUUUUUU